CUGGGUUUCCCUUGACUGAAAGGGAUCAGUUGGGACUUCGGGAUCUCCUUCCUUCUCGUGUCAUAUCAUUCGAGCAUCAAUAUGAACGUUUCAUGAAUUCAUACAGGUCCUUGGAGAAGAACACCCGAGGUCAAUCAGAUAAAUUUGUUUCCUUAGCGAAAUGAAGAAUCUUAAAUAGGCUGCAUGAUAGGAACGAGACUCUGUACUACAGAGUGAGUUUCAUCACUAAGUUUUUAAUCCUAGAGUAUAAGGAUAUUUGAUCUUAUUUGUUACAUGCCCUCUUCAGGUUCUUAUUGAUAAUAUUAAAUAGUUUUCUCCAAUAAUCUAUACUCCUACAGUUGGAUUAGUGUGUCAAAAUUAUUCAGGGUUAUAUAGGGGCCCACGUGGAAUGUAUUUUAAUGCCAAAGAUAAAGGAGAGAUGAUGUCAAUGAUCUAUAACUAGCCUGCAAAUCAGGCUCUUGUGAAAAAUUCAACUGAUGCCAUGAAGGAAUUAAGGGUCCCUGAGAUUUUACAUUUGGUGAGUUAUCUGCAAUAUGUAAUUUAGACAGACAUAGACAUCUUGAUUAUUUCUAAUUUAACAUAUUGAAAGUUAUUGGUGAGUUAUCUGCGAUAUGUAAUGUUAUAUAGAAUAUAAGUCUAAGUUUAGUUAUUUAUCUUGUCUUGAGUCUUUAUG
Arachis stenosperma is the source of this 673-nucleotide long non-coding RNA. RefSeq lists it as uncharacterized. Lineage: Eukaryota; Viridiplantae; Streptophyta; Magnoliopsida; Fabales; Fabaceae. The record is from RefSeq and is a predicted model, not a curated record. The transcript has 3 exons.